Molecule: long non-coding RNA, 2440 nt
Filed under: Sus scrofa (pig)
Lineage: Eukaryota; Metazoa; Chordata; Mammalia; Artiodactyla; Suidae
Description: lncRNA (ENSSSCG00035033863.1)
Source: RNAcentral
UUUUUUUUUUUUGGUGGUGGUGGUGUUGUCUUUUUUGUCUCUUUAGGGCCGCACCCGUGGCAUAUGGAGGUUCCCAGGCUAGUGGUCAAACUGGAGCUGCAGCUGGAGUCUAUGUCACAGCCACAGGAACACUGGAUCCAAGCAGCAUCAGCAACCUACACAGCAGCUUUCCUCAAUGCCAGAUCCUUAACUCACUGAACUAGGUUAGAGGUGGAACCCACAUCCUCACAGACACUGUGUCAGGCCCUUAACCUGCUGAGCCACAACAGGAACUGACUGUAUUUUCUUACAAAGGCAUAACCAAGUGCUUUACAGGAACUAAGAAAAAAAGUCUGCAAAUAGGUAAUGUAACAUUUCAUUACUGAGAAAUGUGCACAGGACUACCUAUCACAAACCAGUGAAUGUCACUGGAGGCAAGAGAAAUUGCCUGACUCUCAGAAAAGCUGAGAGACAUUACAAAGCAAUAACUGGCUUCUGGGCCAAUUCAUAAGGAGUUGUUACUUCUUUCUUAGUGGUACAUAAAGUAAUGGUGAACUUGCCAUUAAUAGAAUCCUAAAUAUAUCUUUUUCAUCAGGGUUAAGUAUUAAGUAAACCUUGAUAAGAGUUUGGAGUAAUAUGUAUUGCACUUAGGACUCACACACAUAAACUUCAUCUUCUUCAAGACCCGCAGGCCCUCAAACCCUCAAAGCCAUAAAACACACGUCCAAUCUUGGAAACCAUCUGAAGUGACAUUCUGCAAGGCAUAUGUAUGCUUAGCCAGCUACAUGGGGGAUUGUGUGUCACCUUUCCUACCUUCAAGCCUAGAAAGCUUCUAGAAAACAGGUCCAGGUCAUCAAUCGGGUUUGCUCACUUAAUGGAGGAGAUGAGCAGAACAUAUCCAGCCCACAGGCUAGCCUAAAACACAGCCUGGAAGAGCAUUAGGUGCUACGAGUGAAUGCUCCAAUCUCACAAAUCAAUAAAUCACUCUUAUUCCUGGGCAGAAGGCGCUGCUCGAGCUCAAAGGGAUGCAGAAGGAGCCGGAGGAGGGCUUCCAGGGUGACCCUGGGACAAGCGACUAGUACAACUAGCAAGUGGCUAUCUUCCAGCCAAACACCUAGUACGAAGGCGGCUACUUGAGAGCAUGCCUCAAGCCCCCCGUCUGUCUUACUUCCCUCAGCCUUUCGGCUCUUGACCAAGAUUUAGGACGAGACAGGGACGUACGCGUUUGCACGCUCCACACCCUGCGCCCCGCGCCCCGCGCCAAUCCCGGGCUGGCGGCUGCCCUUCGAGCGCUGGAACCCGGCCCCGCCCCCCGCAGCCUUGCGACCACCCUCCUGUGCAUCAGCCCCACACCUUCUCAUCAGCCGUCCUGAGGUGGAGGCAGUGGAAAGAGGGCAAAGCCAAGGUCCCCCGAGUACACAAGCAUCAUUCCGAAAGCAGGUCCUGGGACCAAGAUGGACGACAAGCGUCGCUGCGCCAAGGUGCCCAUCACGUGGUAGGCGAGCGCUGCGUGAAAACCGAGGCGCCGGCGCAGGAGGUUAGGACCCCCUGGACCUGCAGCACUGCAACCCGGAGGAUGGCAAGGCCUGGCCCAAGGCUGUUUCCGGGAGGACGAGGAUGACUCCGCAACCAGGAGUACCGACUCUGAAUAAACUUACAAAUUUUACCAAAGGAAAAACCACAAACAGAACAAAACAAACAAAAAACAGAAACAACAGUUCUGGAGGCCAGAAGUCUAAAAUCAAGGUGCGAGUUCCCUUGUGACGCAGCCAGUUAAGGAUCCAGAAGCUGGGUCGCUGGGGUUGGGGGGAACUUCCACGUGCAGGGGCGGGCCAAAAAGAAAAAAUAAAUUAAAAAAUAAAACAACAUUUUAAAAGGUGUUGUCAGCAUCGAUAUCUUAUGGAAGCUCUAUGAAUCCCUUACCUCUUUUCUAUUUUUGAUGGUUAAUGCAGUCCUUAGCAUUCUUUGACUCAUACUUGCAUAACUUGCCUCUGCCUCCAUCUUCACCUGGCUUCCCCCUGUAUCUCUGUGUCAAAUCUCCCUUCGCUUUCUCUUUGUAUACCAGUCAUUGGGUUUAUACACUAUCCUAAAUCUGGGAUUAUCUCAUCCCAAAAUCCUUAUUUUAAUUACAUGUGCAAAGAUCCUAUUUCCAAAUAAUGUCACAUUCAUAGGUACUAAAGGUUAAGACUUGAACAGAUCUUUGGGAAAAUACUAAACAAUCUUUAUGAAAGCUUGAGAACAAGGAUUUUCCUCCUACUUCUCCUUUAUUCCAGGAACUGUGCCAGGCACCAAAAAUCCAUAAAUGAGGAGUAUCAGUGCAGUCCCUGUCCUCGUGCCUAGAGUCCAUUCUUCACCUUCUACACUGCCAAGGCCCUAUUUGAAUGGUCUCCUACUUUUUCUCCCAGCCUCCAGUCUAACUAAUCUGAAAUACAACAAAACACAGCAAAACCCUAUACUAACC